CCCCCAAGAAGCGCUGGGAGCUGCGCUCUCCUUUUCCUAACCCUGGCCGUCUCCACCGAGGUCGCAGACACUCCUGAGACCGAAGAGGAGGAUGAUAAUGUGCUGAUCUUAAAAACGAGCAACUUCAAUGAGGUGCUGGCCACCUGUGACUACCUCUUGGUGGACUUCUAUGCCCCUUGGUGUAAGCCCUGUAGAGAUUUGAUACCUGAGUUUUCCAAGGCAGCGGAACAAUUGAAAGUCGAGAACUCUAAUAUCACAUUGGCCAAAGUAGAUGCCACUGAAGAGCACGAUCUAGCAGAACAGUUUAACAUUCGAGUGUUCCCUACUAUCAAGUUAUUUAAAAAUGGAGAUGCAUCUUUCUCUAAGGAUUAUACAAACGGCAGAGAAGCUAAGGAUAUUGUGGAAUGGAUGAAGAAACGAAUCCAGCCCUCUGUCAUUUUGCUGGAGGAUGCUGCUGCUGCAGAGUCUUUAAUGGUUUCCAAUGAAGUUUUUGUUUUAGGCUUAUUCAAAGAUGGUCAGUCCUCCAAUGCUAAGAAUUUCUCAGAUGCUGCAGAGUACUUCGAUAACAUCCCAUUUGGAAUGACUUUCACCGAAGACGUCUUCACCCAAUAUCAAUUGGAUAAAGAUAGCAUUAUUCUUUUUAAGAAGUUUGAUGAAGGUCGAAUCGACUUCGAUGAAGAGAUUACAAAAAUGAAUGUAGUAAAUUUUGUCAAUCACCACCAGCUGCCCUUGGUCAUCGAGUUCUCCGAGGAGACUGCCCCGAAGAUUUUCGCAGGUCAGUUGAAAACACAUUUAUUAUUGUUCAUGCCCAAGAACAGUCCGGAUUAUGAGGACAAAAUGGACCAAUUCAAAAAAGCAGCUGAAAGUUUCAGGGAGAAAAUCCUAUUUAUCAUCAUCGAUACCAACAACAAUGACAACAUGGGUAUCCUUAAUUUCUUUGGCUUGAGUCAAGAAGAGUGCCCAACAAUGCGACUCAUUAGUAUGGAGACUGAGAUGGUCAAGUACAAGCCUGAGUCAGAAGAAUUAACUACAGAGUCAAUAGAGGAAUUCUGUAGGCAGUUUUUGGAGGGCAAAUUCAACUUCCAUUUGAUAAGCCAAGAUGUGCCUGAUGACUGGGAUAAAGGGCCUGUUAAAGUGUUGGUUGGGAAGAACUUUGACAGUGUUGCUUUUGAUCCAAGAACUAAUGUCUUUGUGAACUUCUAUGCCCCUUGGUGUGGUCAGUGCAAAAAACUAGAUCCCAUUUGGGAAAAACUGGGAGAAGCUUACAAGGAUCAUGAAAAUAUAAUCAUUGCCAAGAUGGACUCAUCAGUUAAUGAGGUAGAUUCUGUUGUGGUCCACAGUUUUCCCACACAGAAGUACUUCCCUGCAGGUAUUGGUAGAAAAAUCAUUGAAUACCAUGGGGUAAGGACACUAGAAGGUUUCAAAAAUUUCCUAGACAAUGGUGGCCAUGAGGGACUAAGGGAAAUAGGUCAUUUAGAAGUCCUAGAUGAAGCUGAAGAACUCGAGUUAGAAGAUCAGAAUGAACAACAACAAGAUAAUGCGAAAGAUGAGAAAGACAAGAUCAACAUAUCUCAAAAUUAAGACAUUGCACUAUGGGUUAUACCAAUCAAACCGGAAAUGGAUCUGAAGGCUUGUAAGAUUCCCAACUGAAGAAGAGCAUUGAUUAAAAACCCAGAGUGUG
Sarcophilus harrisii (Tasmanian devil) is the source of this 1681-nucleotide RNA transcript. It is a transcript of the gene named protein disulfide-isomerase pseudogene, with no coding region annotated. The transcript has a single exon. NCBI's taxonomy places the organism in Eukaryota, Metazoa, Chordata, Mammalia, Dasyuromorphia, Dasyuridae. The record is from RefSeq and is a predicted model, not a curated record.